ACCAUCUUCCCAUGAUCUUACUCUGCUGUGACUGUAUGGCUGAAACACUCAAACAGAUAUUUCAUGCGCUUUCACCACACCACUGAUGGUUAAUCCAUUGUGUUAACCGGAUCUGUUCGGCACUGAAGAGUAACAGGAGUAUUGUACACAGAUCAGAUAUACAGGACAAUGUAAGGGAAGAAUGCAGUAACUACACACAAUGCAUGGAUACCAUGAUGUACUGAUGAUGAUGGCAGUAGCCACUAGAUGUCCCUGUCUAAACACAUUUGGCUUGGCUAAGAAGCUGCUGGCACAGAUGCAAACAAUUUAUGAAAAAUAGCAAAACGGACCGCUAAGAUGGCAAUACAGUAAACAUGAAGAAAAUCUAAUACA
Long non-coding RNA from Etheostoma spectabile (orangethroat darter), 372 nucleotides. RefSeq lists it as uncharacterized. The record is from RefSeq and is a predicted model, not a curated record. NCBI's taxonomy places the organism in Eukaryota, Metazoa, Chordata, Actinopteri, Perciformes, Percidae. The transcript is spliced from 2 exons.